RNAcentral lists this ribosomal RNA (238 nucleotides) under uncultured bacterium. Its description in RNAcentral is "partial 16S ribosomal RNA". It matches the Rfam family "Bacterial small subunit ribosomal RNA", at positions 791 to 1035 of the family's 1533-position model. The record is from RNAcentral.
UAGUCCACGCCGUAAACGAUGAGUACUAAGUGUUGGGGGUCAAACCUCAGUGCUGCAGUUAACGCAAUAAGUACUCCGCCUGAGUAGUACGUUCGCAAGAAUGAAACUCAAAGGAAUUGACGGGGGCCCGCACAAGCGGUGGAGCAUGUGGUUUAAUUCGAAGCAACGCGAAGAACCUUACCAGGUCUUGACAUACCUCUAAAAGCCCUAGAGAUAGGGAAAUAGCUAUAGAGGAUAC